AUGAGUUUCUCAGGCAGCGUGUUGCAUCCACGGCUUUCUGCUGGUCUCUAUUUUUCAAGACAAGAGAAAGUUGUUGAUCCUUUUCUUCUCCAAAUUUAUUCAUUAAUCAGAUGGGUUACAACCGAUGGGAAUAGAACAAAUGGACCCACUUUGCUUGUCAGCGAUCGGAACAAGUAUAAGUCGAUGCUUAUCCGUACAUAUUCUACUGUGUGGAUGAUUGGCGGCUUUGCAUUCCUAGUUUAUAUGGGCCAUCUUUAUAUCUGGGCCAUGGUGGUUGUCAUUCAAAUAUUCAUGGCGACAGAGCUUUUCAACCUACUCAGAAAAUCCAGUGAAGAGAAGCAACUGCCAGGGUUCAGGCUCCUAAAUUGGCACUUCUUUUUCACGGCAAUGUUGUUUACAUAUGGACGCUUUCUUAGUCGGGAGCUUGUUAACACAGUAUCUUCAGAUCACUUGUUGUAUAAGCUCGUCAGCGGCCUAAUAAAGUAUCAGAUGUUUAUUUGCUAUUUUCUUUAUAUUUCAGGAUUUGUAUGGUUUAUUUUGACACUGAAGAAAAAGACAUACAAAUACCAGUUCAAACAGUAUGCCUGGACACACAUGAUUCUUUUAACGGUUUUUGCACAAUCUUCUUUCACGGUGGCAAAUAUAUUUGAAGGAAUGUUCUGGUUUCUUCUACCUGCUUCACUCAUUGUGAUCAAUGACAUUGCCGCCUAUUUAUUUGGGUUCUUUCUCGGGAGAACACCAUUGAUCAAGUUAUCUCCAAAGAAAACAUGGGAAGGCUUUAUUGGUGCAUCAGUGACAACCAUCAUCUCUGCUUUCCUGUUAGCAAAUGUAAUGGGUCGCUCCCAGUGGUUUACAUGCCCAAGAAAGGACCUGUCAACAGGGUGGCUUCAGUGUGAUCCUGGCCCUAUGUUUAAGCCAGAGCAUUAUUAUCUGGGAGAUUGGGCACCCCAUUGGUUUCCAUGGAAAGAAGUGUUCCUAAUGCCUGUGCAGUGGCAUGCUUUAGCCCUUGGUUUGUUUGCAUCGAUAAUUGCACCAUUCGGUGGAUUUUUCGCAAGUGGCUUCAAGAGGGCUUUUAAAAUAAAGGAUUUUGGCGACAGUAUACCUGGGCAUGGUGGAAUCACUGACCGAAUGGACUGUCAAAUGGUUAUGGCAGUUUUUGCAUACAUAUACCACCAAUCGUUCAUCUCGCCCCACAAUUUCUCUGUUGACGCAAUCUUGGAUCAGAUCUUAAGAAACCUGACGUACGAGGAGCAGAGAAACUUGUAUGAGCAACUUGGGGAGAUGUUGGGCAACUUAUGCAAAGCUGAUAAACUCGCUGCUUGCUUAUGA
RNAcentral lists this ribosomal RNA (1329 nucleotides) under Triticum aestivum (bread wheat). Its description in RNAcentral is "partial small subunit ribosomal RNA". The record is from RNAcentral. Lineage: Eukaryota; Viridiplantae; Streptophyta; Magnoliopsida; Poales; Poaceae.